AGUGCUAUGUCUGACUUAAGUAAUAAAUUGUAAAUUUAUUUAAGGAAAAUAUUUUUCCUGGCACUA
RNAcentral lists this transfer RNA (66 nucleotides) under Pseudomyrmex peperi. RNAcentral's name for it is "tRNA-Tyr". Lineage: Eukaryota; Metazoa; Arthropoda; Insecta; Hymenoptera; Formicidae. The record is from RNAcentral.